Molecule: ribosomal RNA, 253 nt
Filed under: uncultured bacterium
Lineage: Bacteria
Description: partial 16S ribosomal RNA
Rfam family: Bacterial small subunit ribosomal RNA
Source: RNAcentral
UACAGAGGUCCCAAGCGUUGUUCGGAUUCAUUGGGCGUAAAGGGUGCGUAGGUGGCGUCGUAAGUCGGGUGUGAAAUCUCGGGGCUUAACUCCGAAACUGCAUUCGAUACUGCGGUGCUUGAGGACUGGAGAGGAGACUGGAAUUUACGGUGUAGCAGUGAAAUGCGUAGAUAUCGGAAGGAAGACCAGUGGCGAAGGCGGGUCUCUGGACAGUACCUGACGCUGAGGCACGAAGGCCAGGGGAGCAAACGGG